GAAAACAGUGUUAUUCCGAAAGUUUUUGGGUUUCAAAGACGAGUUUGAGUAAGGAUGCGGUGACUUGGGAGAACUUUGCGAAACAUCAGUAUUAUUUUAGCACCAUAGACUUUGUAAAUAUAGGAAUCAUUCCCGAAACCCCAUAUACCAUGGCCUUAAUCAUCAUUUCAAUAUAAAUCCUCAGUAGUUUAUCUCAACAGUCAGCUCUGGCCUACGCAUCCUCUACGUAGGGGACCGAUGCAAAUAAGUGAAUGAUCCAGC
Molecule: long non-coding RNA, 261 nt
Filed under: Lathyrus oleraceus (garden pea)
Lineage: Eukaryota; Viridiplantae; Streptophyta; Magnoliopsida; Fabales; Fabaceae
Description: Pisum sativum (pea) long non-coding RNA (PSAT_LNC027303)
Source: RNAcentral